AGAGUUCGAUUAUGGCUCAGAUUGAACGCUGGCGGUAUGCUUAACACAUGCAAGUCGAACGGAAACGAUACUAGCUUGCUAGUAGGCGUCGAGUGGCGGACGGGUGAGUAACGCGUAGGAAUCUGCCUGAUAGUGGGGGAUAGCCCGAAGAAAUUCGGAUUAAUACCGCAUAAUCUAUUCGUAGUAAAGUGGGGGACUUUCGAGCCUCACGCUAUCAGAUGAGCCUGCGUAAGAUUAGCUUGUUGGUAGGGUAAAAGCCUACCAAGGCGACGAUCUUUAGCUGGUCUGAGAGGAUGAUCAGCCACAUCGGGACUGAGACACGGCCCGAACUCCUACGGGGGGCAGCAGUGGGGAAUAUUGGACAAUGGGGGCAACCCUGAUCCAGCAAUACCGCGUGUGUGAAGAAGGCCUGAGGGUUGUAAAGCACUUUCAAUUGUGAAGAAAAGUUAGCGGUUAAUAACCGUUAGCCUUGACGUUAACUUUAGAAGAAGCACCGGCUAACUCCGUGCCAGCAGCCGCGGUAAUACGGAGGGUGCAAGCGUUAAUCGGAAUUACUGGGCGUAAAGCGUGCGUAGGCGGUUUAUUAAGUCAGAUGUGAAAGCCCCGGGCUUAACCUGGGAACUGCAUUUGAAACUGGUCAACUAGAGUAUGGUAGAGGAAAGUGGAAUUUCUGG
Molecule: ribosomal RNA, 674 nt
Filed under: uncultured bacterium
Lineage: Bacteria
Description: bacterial SSU rRNA
Rfam family: Bacterial small subunit ribosomal RNA
Source: RNAcentral